RNAcentral lists this ribosomal RNA (480 nucleotides) under uncultured Allobrachymonas sp. RNAcentral describes it as "bacterial SSU rRNA". It matches the Rfam family "Bacterial small subunit ribosomal RNA", at positions 896 to 1382 of the family's 1533-position model. The record is from RNAcentral. Lineage: Bacteria; Pseudomonadati; Pseudomonadota; Betaproteobacteria; Burkholderiales; Comamonadaceae.
GAAACUCAAAUGAAUUGACGGGACCGCACAAGCGGUGGAUGAUGUGGUUUAAUUCGAUGCAACGCGAAAACCUUACCCACCUUUGACAUGGCAGGAAUCCUAAAGAGAUUUAGGAGUGCUCGAAAGAGAACCUGCACACAGGUGCUGCAUGGCUGUCGUCAGCUCGUGUCGUGAGAUGUUGGGUUAAGUCCCGCAACGAGCGCAACCCUUGCCAUUAGUUGCUACGAAAGGGCACUCUAAUGGGACUGCCGGUGACAAACCGGAGGAAGGUGGGGAUGACGUCAAGUCCUCAUGGCCCUUAUAGGUGGGGCUACACACGUCAUACAAUGGCCGGUACAGAGGGUAGCCAACCCGCGAGGGGGGAGCCAAUCCCACAAAGCCGGUCGUAGUCCGGAUCGCAGUCUGCAACUCGACUGCGUGAAGUCGGAAUCGCUAGUAAUCGCGGAUCAGCAUGUCGCGGUGAAUACGUUCCCGGGCCUU